Molecule: long non-coding RNA, 446 nt
Filed under: Pelobates cultripes (western spadefoot toad)
Lineage: Eukaryota; Metazoa; Chordata; Amphibia; Anura; Pelobatidae
Source: RNAcentral
UGUGAACAUAUGUAACCUGCUACUGACAUGCUGUCAGCCAUUUUGCUGUUUAUUCAUCAUCUUAAAAUAUAAUCAAAGAAGAAUAUUUACUCUAAGAAAUAAGAAGAAACUAUGUUUUAUUGCUACAAUUUAUUAAUGGAUGUCUGGACUGUUUUUUGGAUUACAAAAGGAAAGGUUAUUUUGAAAGCGUGUCUUGUCAGAUGUUGCCAGGGGGGGAAAGGUGAAAUGUGUGCUUAAGUUGUGAAAGAGGAAGGCUUAUAUGUGUUAACUCUUAUCAUAGACAAGCGAUAUUUUAGGGAAGUAAGAUGCAUGACUGGGGUCAAGUUAUCUGUUAGAAAGAUCAUGGGAUGCUUAAACUUUUGAACCUUAAAUUUGUCAGUUAUGCUAGAAUUUAGCCAAUAGGAAAUAAGACCAUAUUUGGAGUUCUGAUUCAAGCUAAACGAAAG